Long non-coding RNA from Xiphias gladius (swordfish), 537 nucleotides. RefSeq lists it as uncharacterized. NCBI's taxonomy places the organism in Eukaryota, Metazoa, Chordata, Actinopteri, Istiophoriformes, Xiphiidae. The transcript has 4 exons. The record is from RefSeq and is a predicted model, not a curated record.
AAUAAAUGUCUACUUCGUUGCUGUCGCCAUUUGAUAUGAUUCAACCUAUAGUUAGAAAAGCUUGUGUAAUUGCAACUUGUUCGGAAGAAGUAAAAGUAGAACUGAGUGGUUUGCAUAAUUAGCAAGAGCUACCAUGACAACGAAAAGAACGCCACCCACAGAAACGUAAACUUCAUCAGCAGAUUGCUGCGUCUGCCACAUAAACCACCAUGGUCAAGAGAGAGAUGGAGGAGGGAAGAAUGAAAAGUCUUUUGGGCCGAAAUCUGGUCCAGCUGUGGUCCAGAGGACAGAACUGGAUGGUAUCAACUCCCUACGCUGCCUGGGGAUCUCCAGCCCCCUCCACCACCGCUCCUGUCAUCCCAGGCAUGCUAGCUGGGAGCCUUUUCUCCACUGCGUCCUCCCCUGGCUUCUGUCACCAACCGCUGUCUGAGUGUCUCAGCUGAGGCCCCAUCUCCCCACAGCUCCCGCUAGCUCUGCAGUGCACUGUGCCAAAUGUGAGGUAUUUUUGCCUCCAGAGCUGCAGAGCCUGGAUCUGUG